GCCUCAAGUUGCUAAUUGGCAGAUCAAAGUCUACUGGUUUUCAUAACCAAAAGUAUGCAAGCAUGGCCAUUUGUCCACAACAAACUCAAUAUUCAAAACAGCUACAAGAAAGUUUUGAUUCAAUUGACAAGCAUUCAAGAUUCCAAAUGGGCAGAGUUUCCUUCAUUCUAGGACAACCUCCAGUUUUCAUUCUUGUUUUCAUUCUUGAGGACAAAAAUGAUU
Molecule: unclassified non-coding RNA, 222 nt
Filed under: Hevea brasiliensis (rubber tree)
Lineage: Eukaryota; Viridiplantae; Streptophyta; Magnoliopsida; Malpighiales; Euphorbiaceae
Source: RNAcentral